RNAcentral lists this ribosomal RNA (250 nucleotides) under uncultured bacterium. RNAcentral's name for it is "partial 16S ribosomal RNA". It matches the Rfam family "Bacterial small subunit ribosomal RNA", at positions 524 to 773 of the family's 1533-position model. The record is from RNAcentral.
UACAGAGGGCCCGAGCGUUGAUCGGAAUCACUGGGCUUAAAGGGUUCGUAGGCGGAUUGACAAGUGCUUUGUGAAAUCCCACGGCUCAACCGUGGAAUUGCUUGGCAGACUGUCAGUCUUGAGCACGACAGGGGCCAUCAGAACGCUAGGUGGAGCGGUGAAAUGCGUAGAUAUCUAGCGGAAUGCCGAAGGUGAAGACAGAUGGCUGGGUCGUCGCUGACGCUCAGGAACGAAAGCAUGGGUAGCGAAC